UACGUAGGGUGCAAGCGUUGUCCGGAAUUAUUGGGCGUAAAGAGCUUGUAGGCGGUUUGUCGCGUCGGCUGUGAAAACUCGGGGCUCAACCCCGAGCCUGCAGUCGAUACGGGCAGACUAGAGUGCGGUAGGGGAGACUGGAAUUCCUGGUGUAGCGGUGAAAUGCGCAGAUAUCAGGAGGAACACCGGUGGCGAAGGCGGGUCUCUGGGCCGUAACUGACGCUGAGGAGCGAAAGCGUGGGGAGCAAACAGG
RNAcentral lists this ribosomal RNA (253 nucleotides) under uncultured bacterium. RNAcentral's name for it is "partial 16S ribosomal RNA". It matches the Rfam family "Bacterial small subunit ribosomal RNA", at positions 524 to 776 of the family's 1533-position model. The record is from RNAcentral.